This 46-nucleotide non-coding RNA is filed under the name Schistosoma mattheei. Lineage: Eukaryota; Metazoa; Platyhelminthes; Trematoda; Strigeidida; Schistosomatidae. The record is from RNAcentral.
GUACUGCUGACGUGUUCCAUACUAGGACUGAACGACCGUCCAGUAC